Molecule: long non-coding RNA, 1264 nt
Organism: Nothoprocta perdicaria
Lineage: Eukaryota; Metazoa; Chordata; Aves; Tinamiformes; Tinamidae
Exons: 2
Source: RefSeq, a predicted model, not a curated record
CACGGGAGCAAUAAGAACAGUUUCCAGUCAGCGCAGCUUUCCUAAAUGCAGGGAAGAGCGCCAGCACGGGAAGAACGGGGCAGUUUUGUUACUUCUGCUGGUUUAGGUAACCAGCAGCCUCCCAGUGCCGCCAUCCUUCAGCAUCCGCGUCCCUUCGGGCCUCCCGUCCCAACCCAGGUUUUGACUGUUCCACCKGGACACCGCUCAGCGGCCCCAAAACGCUGCCUGAGGCCGAGUGUGGGAUGAAACGCCCGCCCUAAGGUUAUUACAACUGGAUGUCUCUGUUAUGAAUGGUAAUUUUCCAGCCUUCCUUGAAGAGUGCCUUUUUUAGAGAAUUUAUGAGGCUCUGAAGCUAACCAAGCUGCCCUGGGUUCGGUUGCUGGCUCAUCAGUGAGAUUUACAGUCUAACUACUCCAUAAUAAGGUAAACACAGAAGUGCUCGGCCAUCAGAGGGUCUGUGGCAGAAGAAAAUUGAUGGCAAUUUCUACUCCUUUCCUCUGUCCUCUUUCUUCCUGAUGURAAAACAUGCUCRGGCUAGGUUCGAAAAGGGAGUUAARUUGUGAUAAAUUGGAAAGCUUCCCAUUGGAGAUAAAGCUCGAGCUUCUAGGGCGCUGUACUCAAAAUGUAGUUAGUUUGAGUAAAGGAAGUCAGAUCUGAAUAAGUACURUGGAACUUUAAACAGGAUUUCUAUCAAACAAUAACAAAAUACCCUCCAAAAGAGAGCUGACUCCUUGAUUAUUCUGCUGUGCUAGAUAAUUGCCAUCUAUUUUGUCAUAACUCUCCAAUUUGGAACAGCCUUGACUUUACAACUGAGAAAACAAUAUAUAGGAGAAGACAAAGUCCCAUGUGAUACUGAUUUGGUUGGCAGAGAAGAGAGGCUUGCACAUGUGCAGCAGAUAAACUGAGUUGUAAAUUAAUUUUAAUGGAAUUGAGAUUUCCUGGAAAAAUUCUUAUCUUUUUCUAGCAGAACUCGCAGUGCUUUCUCUGCUAUGUAUAUGCAAUGUCUUUGCUUCCACUUUUGCACCACUCUGGAAUAGAUUAACCUUUUAGAUAGCCCUCAUCACCGCAAUUCAUCRUGUCAUGGCAUUUUGGUAAUACAGAACUUUGGAAGACGUUGCUCUGCUCCUACUGCUGAAUGCCUUUUGCUCUCAUCACUUCCCAAAUACUCAGGGAAAGCCAGUGACUGUACACAAACAAACAAAAAAAUCUUCUUUUCUCUAAUUAGAGUCAAAAUGUAUCUUAAGAUGAUGAAAAUAAUCUCUUG